RNAcentral lists this microRNA (22 nucleotides) under Callorhinchus milii (elephant shark). RNAcentral's name for it is "Cmi-Novel-11_3p (mature (guide))". The record is from RNAcentral. Lineage: Eukaryota; Metazoa; Chordata; Chondrichthyes; Chimaeriformes; Callorhinchidae.
CAUUCAAGUGCAUCGGUUCAAA